UUGUACUAAGAAGUUGUACGUAUAAGUUCUGCAUGCCAUUAAGGUUGUGCUAAAAAUUUAUCUCAUAAGAAGUUAUAUUACGAAAUUAUGUGUCGGGGUAUGUAUACAAGUUACGAUAUUUCAAAAAUGGAAAGUUGCAGGAAUUAAAACUUUCCAAAAAUUGAAAAUUUUGUGGGAGUGGAGUGGAUGUUAGGAAUCAAGCGCUACCAGGCCUCCAGGCGCGCGCACCCC
RNAcentral lists this long non-coding RNA (231 nucleotides) under Setaria italica (foxtail millet). RNAcentral's name for it is "long non-coding RNA (SITA_LNC003751)". The record is from RNAcentral. Lineage: Eukaryota; Viridiplantae; Streptophyta; Magnoliopsida; Poales; Poaceae.